This is a long non-coding RNA of Motacilla alba alba, 11880 nucleotides long. RefSeq lists it as uncharacterized. NCBI's taxonomy places the organism in Eukaryota, Metazoa, Chordata, Aves, Passeriformes, Motacillidae. The transcript has 2 exons. The record is from RefSeq and is a predicted model, not a curated record.
AAAAAAGAAAAAAGAAAAAGGAAAAAAAGAAAAAAAGAUAAACGACCGCAGAGUCGACAGGCUCUAGAGGGAGCCAUUCACAAUUUGCCUCGCCAGAAAACAUUGCAUAAGAAAGGAAAACUGUCUUCCCUUCUACAAAAAUCCCAGCCAGCUAGAGUUCAUAUGCUUCGUGUAACCUCCCCUGUAGUGUCUCUAGCCAAUGCAUGUGGGAGGCAACGUCAAUUAAUUCAGCCUAUUAGCUGAAUCAAGACCACAUCCAGAUGAGGAGGACAAGAAUGUAAAUCCAAGCUACAGAUCUGGUCUAAUUUGUUACAUUUUUCUCAGUCCUAGUAAGCUUGACACUGGUGAUCUGAAUUACUGCCAAAGUUGAGCUUGCAACAGUGUGAACAGAAAUUAAGCACAUAUAUUUAUUUUUUCCUAGGUCAUACAACAGAAGACUGAUCUAUAACCAGUUGGCAGAGUGGGAGAUGAGAUUCCUGAGCCUGAACAGGGACAUACUUUUUCAAUCACUCGGGUCCUCAACCCACCCGUAACACUCCUGGGGCUAAAACGACCACCAGGCAAGAAGCUGGGCCCCUGCAUGCAUAAAGCUGUCAGAAUGAGACCCUCAACAAUUAAACCAUACAGACAUUCUGGCACGAAGCAUUGCUUAAUUUCUUGUUCAAGAAUUCUUUGAAGAAAUAAGUGUUUCCACAACACACCCAAUUUUUUUCAGCCUGUCACAUGUGGGAUUACCUCCUUUAUACCAUGGAACAGAGACUAGCUCACAGUACGCAAAGCAAAACAAAACAAAUCAAAGUACAAACUUUUACCUAGAGUCCCUUUUGAACUUUUUAACAUCACUCUUACUACAGUGACAGGACAAGACAUAAUAUUUUACUAUUUUUAAAGACUGCAUUUGCAUGAUAACAAAAUGUUAUUGCUAAUUCUUAUCAAGAUUUAAACCCUAAAAAUACUUCCUUCAUCAGCCCCAGGUUUAUGCUCAAUGCUGUUUUUCCACAGUAGUCCACCAAUCAGUAGUCCUUGAUACUUGAACUUUGCUUCAUCUUACAGAAAUAUGGGAAAUAAGGGAGCAGAGUUAUCCUAAUCUGUAUGUCUUGUAACCUUUCUUUCACAACCCUUUACACUGCAAGUGCUUCAAAGGCAAAGUGACUCUCUCCCUCUUUUGUCUCUCAAUGCCAGCCAAGACAAUAAAGCCCCAAUGUUAAGAGGACUGGGGAGUCUACCAUAAACUUCUACUCCUGGUACUAUAUUCUCUCCCAUUCCACCCACACUUUCCUUUUGAAUUUAACCAGAACUUGAACCAACAAAUCAUACUUCAUGCAAGACAAAGGGCAUCAUUCCUACCUCUGCUGAAAGUGACCAACUGUUUACUAUCAACAGAGAUGAUCGCUUCCUAAUCAAGGUCCUGUCAAACCACAUUAACUUCACUGAACAAGGCGGAUCUAGCUAAUCAAAAUUGCAUCAUGCAAGUCAGUCAUCAGAACAGAAGCUGUUUUUUCCCUUUCUAACAUUUCAGCCAGGAGUAGCAAAACCACCCAAGAAGCUGGGCACAGAUUCCAGAACCCAUCAGCAGAUCUGCUUCGCAUUCUUCUUAAGGCAUUACACCAUUUAACUAUUCCUUUGAUGGGUCCAUUAUCUACAUUUCUUCAGCCAAAUAUAGUAAAAGUAACUCCAAAUAUUGCAAAUGUUUUACACAAUGUAGCAGUCAGAUACAAAAAAAAAAAAUCAUAAAUGUACAUUGGCAGAAUUUUCAUCUGCAAAACCAUGUUAUGUUAAAACAUGUGGACAGACCAGAAGCAAGUGAACACAUCAGUGGUCUUUCAACUUAUUAGGAGUAAAAGAGAGUGAAAGGGAAGGAGAAAACAAAAAAAAAAAAAAAAAAAAGUUUUUACCAGUUAUGUGUCAACUUAUUUCAAUUAAAAGUUUGCAAAGAUCACUGGAACCUGCCAUACUCACAGUCAACAUAUACAGUCAGCACAAUUAGCUGAACAGGCAUUAAUUUAAAAUGAAGCCUGUUGUUGCUUUGGGUUUUUUUCCCCGAUUAUCCAGAAGUAGUGCAAAACUAAGGAGAGAAAUGACUAAAAAUGUCACGGAAAUGUACUAAAGUCACUGUGCUGGAUAUAUUAUUACCUGCAAGACUCACACAUUCUGCAGGAAUUCAUUCCUUAUACUUGUUUAAAAAAAAAAAAAAAAAAAAAAAAGAAAAAAAGAAGAAAAGAAAAGGCAUUAUAGUCAUUAUAGUAUUUCCACACCAUAGGACAAACAACAUAAUGGAAAGUAUGAUCAAUGAACAAAAUGCUGCUGUUUCAUGGUUUUCCUUUACGGACUCUGUUUUCUUCUGCUUGGUAAUGGCAACAUCUUACACUCAGAAUGCUACUAACAGAAAUUUUAUGUACGGCAUACAUACUUCCAAUUUUAUUUCAUAUCAAAGACAAAACCAUCUCACUUUAUUAUUCUAAUGAAAAAUCCACACAUCACUGCUCUUUUUUGAUAUACCUAAAGCCACUUGAUGGCAUUCUAGUCUUUUAUUACAUGAUUCCUUAUGAUUAAUUACGUAGAUGGCUGAGUUAGUGGCAAGAAUUCCAUAAUCAAAAGAUGAUUUAAUUAACAGGUCAAUGCAGAGUCUCAUGACUGGUGAUAAGACAGUGCAGUGGCUUGUACACUACCUUUCCAGCAGCGUCAUGGGUGUCUGCCUAUGAAAAAUGAGAUACCAUGCCAUCUGUGUGAUUUAGCUACAAUUUUUUUUUAAGGAAGAAAAAAACAGCAAAGCAGCAACACCAGUGUCCUGGCAUUAUUUCACAUUUAAUAUAUCUGUUUCUAAUUCUCAGGGAUGUAUUUGAAGGCCAUUGCUCAACAUGAAACCGUGUAGCUGACAGCACCACUACUGCUGAGGGUUAGUUAUUGUUAAAAGGCUGUUUUUUUUCCAGAGAAGAGGAAAGUAUCUUCCUCCUCCCCACCCUCUCUGAUAUCCACAGGCUUCCCUCUUAGCUCUUUGCAAGAGCACUCCAGAUCUGCCUUGAGCAAGACAGCAUCCUACACCAUGAAACAAACUGCUGCUCCUCCUGAACUUCCCCACCAACUGGAACAGAAGCUGAUCAAGGUAAUUUGCACUAAGACUGGUGCAUGGCACUGAUACACCCUUCAAUGAUGUAAGAAUAAGACUGUGAUUGUUUUCAUUGGCACAGUUUUUGACACAUUUCCUUCCACUGACUUAGUACCCAUUUUGAAGUUCCUGUGUAAUUCAGCUCAUGUGCUCAUUCCACUGAGAAUCUCAGUCUUAUCUACACCUUUCUCACAACCAAAGUCAAAAUUUACAUGUCAUUAACAUGUUUACAAAGAAGUCUGAAAUCCAUCACUGCAGUCCCUUCCACACCAAGUAGCCUGAGGAGUAAAUUUGACCUCUGUUACACUUAGAGAUCAAUGCUAGUUCAAGACAUCAGGGAUAGCCAGAAGUCACUGCUUAUUAAUUUACUGUCCAGUGGCUCUGAAGGCAUGAACUACUUAUUUUUCAGAGUGUCUUACAAUGUUCCAUUUCAGGUUACUGGAAUUGCAUCACAUAGCCCAAGGUUUCUUUAUUUUUCUUGGACAUGAACACUACCUCUAUUAACCACUCAAUACUUACCUUGUGCACUACCACGCAACCAGUAGCUUAGUAGACAGCAAGCGCUCUCUAAAAAAGAGCAUUCCUGAGAGACAAACAUUUGGGAUAAAAAUGUUUUCCUACCAAUGCGGAGGACAGACUUUGAGAAACCAAAGCCAAAUCUCCCACAAAUACAUACAGGUUUUGGAGCCUAAGUUCUCAGUCAAAUUUUAGGUACACAAACAAUUUUCUGGAGAACCUCCCUUCUAAAGACUAUGGGCCUCAAGAUAUUUCCAUCUGAGCACCUGAGAGGCAGACACAGUUCUGCUUUGUUUGAGCAACACCACCUUUUAAAUUUUUUCAGGACUAUAAAUCUGUAGCAUUAGACCAAUUCAGCAACCUUGUGCCAGUGAAAACUCAAAGCAACAGAAUCAUACCUCUAAUAGUCACGGACAUCUCACAUAAACAGUGUUUUUAUUUCAUGUCUUUGAAAGAUGCUGACCUUUUUGAUAAAUCAAGCAUAUGGAUAAGUAUCCCCUGCAGUGCUUAUUUUAUAGUAAUAGCCAAGGCAGGGAACCUCUGCAAUUUGCAAUACCUGUAACCACUACAGCAGGAGGCAUAGGAGAUAAAACCCCCUUACAACCUAGUGAUCACAUACAAGGACUGAAUAAUAUUCCAAGAUGUUCCACUGGGUCUCAGCCUUCACCAACCAACUCAAAAAGCAGCAGUGUACAGAGAAAGAUGCUAGACUUACAUGGAAAACAGACAUCCUGCCUCUACCCUACCUUCUCACCUUCAGCACCCUCUCUCUGCCAGGAUGGGAACCAGAAAGGGACUUCAUACCUCUCUCCCUGACACCCUGCACAACCCAUCUCCCUCAGCUUUGACUGCCAUUAUGGGCUUUCUUCUACUCCACUUCCUCAUGGAAUGCUGUUCCUAUGUGCAUCUCUGUAACAUGUGUGUGCAGGUGUUACUCAAGCACUAGCAAUUAAGCUAGCUUCAGUCCAUCACAAUGGUACACGGAUCAGGCCAGUGAGACACAGUUCUGCUUCCCCAUCCCAACUGGGUACCACAAUAACAAGCAGUCACACAUGCCACAGGGCAGAAAGCAGUACCUAAUGGCACCAGUGACAAUCUCCAUUUUUACAGAUAAAGAACGCAGACCUCAUGAGAAAAAAAACACAGCAGCCAAAUACUAAUCGCAAAGGGUUGAAACCCCCUACAAAGAAACUGGUAAAAAGAGUUGAAGUUCUACAGCAGAUAUGAAGACUAUCCUGUCUCUUACUGGGCACAGAAAAAUAAUGGCCUUUUGAUUUAAAGCUUCCUGUUGCUCUCUAGGGAGUUCUGUCUUCAUGUUCUCUCAGAUGUUUGAGCUUGUCUGGUGCUGCUUUGUGUCAGCAACAGAAUAUAGUUUUUCUGCAUACGGACAGUUUUAGUCAGCAUCCUGACAGAAGAGCAGGGAAGACAGCACUUUCCUCAGAAUUAUCAUUCUUCAGGCCUGACAGGCAAAACCAUUUACUGGGAGAAAGUGCAAAACACCUUCUGGAAGUCCAAGGUUAGAAGGCAGCAGAAAUGGGACUGGUUGGAAUGCCCGCUUCUUUAAACUUUUAAAAUGUCUUCUGCUUGUAGGGCCACAAUUGCUGUUCGUUUACAUGGUUGAUCUCUCAAUGUAUUUACUGCUGUGAGAUACUGAUACAUCUAAUGAUGUAUCUAAUGAUGCUAAGGAUGGCUGUCAUAAAUCCAUCAGGAUUACAUUAUAAAAACGUAAUGCAAAAAUAUAUACUUCACAGAAAGUGAAUGGAACUGAGCUGCCAAAAAAAAAUCAGUUGAGAAAUGGUGAGCUUACAAGAGCUAGAACACAGUGGUUAACAAUCAGCGUCUUAAAGAGAUUACAUGGUCAUUCAGUGGGCUGUGCAGCAGCUCAAUAAAAAAAUCAUAUUAAUCACGUAACUAGACAUGAUCUCUGUGAGCACUGCACUACAGGCUGUCAGAAACUGCAUGCUGUGUCUGUCUAGGUUUUCUUGCACAGCAUUCACUGAAUACACAUUUAUUCAUCUGUAUAGCACACAUGGAGCAGCUGUUGUGCCUGCCCAGGUUAAAACAGCCUGCACCUUACCAUCUCCCUUCCCAACACACAGGUAGACAUUCUACUCUUAUCCCUCUCCCCAGUUAUGCUGUCCAACAAAAGGACACCAUCUAGAUCAUCAUAUCCCAAUGAGAAGAUAUAAUCAGUAUCAAUAUCUCUUUAGUGCCAAAGACUUUAGGAUAAUGUAAAAGCAAUAGGACCAUAUCAACCAUUUCUAUUACACUGAGAAUAAGAUAACACCAGACUCUUCAUUUUUACUUUUAAAAAGUGGGGGGGGUGGGGGCAGGGAGGUGGGAAGAGACAGAGAUAAAACCUAUGCAAAAAAAAGCUAACAAAAAAAACCACCCAACAACAAAGCACUUCACUUUAUCUCUCAAGCCAUCAUAUGAUAUGAAUUAAGUUACUCCUUACACAUGAUGGGGAUGGCUCCCGUUUGCUGUUACAAACUGUGUUAACGCUGACACGAUUGUGAAUAGCAAAAAUAAAAACACCCAUCAAAGUUGCCUUUUCAUUCUGUCACAGAAUGAUAAAGUUUGGAGCUGUGACAAGGACACAAAGCUGUCUGCAUACUCAGGAAGACAGCCCAACAACAGCUGCCGCUGCUUGCAGAGGGCAACCUUCCCUGCAAUUUUAGGAACUAAAACUUUUCUUUCUAAAAAUCAGCUAAAAUCUAGUUUUACGUGUAUACAUCUGUAUUGCCUAUAGGCAGAAAAAUAUUCUCUUUGAUUGGGUAAAAUAGAUAGAUUGCUAAAGAAAAAGAGAUAUUUUUAUUUCUUGCUUGGUGCCUAUCUAGGUUGAGAGAGUGGAAAAGGGCAGGGAAAAAAAACCAGCACAAAUUUAAGAAAAAAAAGCAAAGCCAACAUGCAAUGAGUUUUGAAACAUACAAUAAUAUACAAAACUGGUACAUCACAAUUCAAACUUUUCAAUUAAACAUAAAAUGCAGUGGCUGCUUACUGAGCUGCGACACAUGUCCUUGGUAACAGGAUAUGAGCUGUUCACCUCUGGGUCACCGUUCCUAAUCCAGCCAGGAACAAUAGUGACCACAAGUUGUUUACCAUCUGACAGCUGUUUGCUAACUUAUGUGAAAUGAGUUGGUGGUCUCAGUCCAUUUCCUACGGGCAGGUGUCCACAUUAUAAAGCAGCACUGCCACAACAGGCAUCCUUGUUGACCAACCCAGCAAGAAACUGAGGAAUGAAUGGGCAUGGAGAACAAACUUCCUUCCAAAGACAUGUUCCCUUCACAUCACACCUAAACCAUAGCUUGCAGUGAAGAAGCCCAGCCACUGAAUUUUAUGGCUCAAGUAGCAAAGGAAUAGUAGCAGAAGUGUCUCAGACUUAUCUUUUUCCUAGAUAUCAAGGAGACUGGCUUCAGCAGCUAAUACAGAUUAUUGCAAUUCUCCCAACAGUUUAUGGUCACAUAACAUUAUAUACCCCAUGAGGAGCAAGCUGAAUUUUUAUUCUUCAGUAAUUUAAAAUAACAGCCAAGCAUGCUUCAUAACAAGCAAAAAUCUUCAAUUGUACACGAAAGUGGCAAAAUUUAGAGAAGUUCUGCUGAGAAGGGUAUCUAAAGGGCUUCAAGGUCUAAAGCUAAGUAUUUCAAAACAGCUGAAUAUAAUUUCUUUAAGUUACUUUAGGUUGAAUAAGAGCUUCUGCUGGGUAAUAUGUUACAAACAAUUUGCUGUGUUGUUCCACAGCAGUCAGCUUUCCUCUAGGCCAAACUUUUCAUUUAACCUCUCAGUGCCCUUUCCUCAAAUAUGUAAUUGUUUUCCUGUGUGGUUAAAACCAGCAUUUUUAGGUCUUUUCAUCUGUACUCCUGGGAUAGCACAAAUUUCAUCUGUACACGGAGUAGCACAAAAUUUGAAUGCAAUGUUUUUAAAGGAACAGCAAACAGCAAUGCAAACAGAUGCAAACAGAAUCCAGAACCUUUUAGAGGAUAUCACUUCCUAAAUAUCCCUUUUAGGACAUGGCAAAAUUAACAUAGGAAAAUGAAAGGAAUGAACAUGUUACGACACAGGGUACAGCUCCUUUCAAGUUUUCCCUACCAGCUGCUUGCUGUACCAUCUGUUGUUGCCUAAGCAGCUUCCUUCUGAAUGGCUUUGCACUGAAGCAGAACUGCUCUCACUGUUGGACACAAUCAGGUCAGGUCAGCGCUCCCCCCAGCACCGAACCUGCUGCCUGUCACAGCUUCCCCCACCUCGAUAUUUCUUACUGGCCACCAGCUCCCGAGCCUGCGCUGCAUCUGUCAAGAGGCCCAUUUUUCAUCGCUCGCUCGCCAUUCACACCGAGCAGGACAGAGUGCGUCUCACUUUGUGCGGGAUGCACACCGGGAUUCCUGUCAGACACUCUGAGUGUGCGACCAUAUGGCCAGGUUUAUGCCGAAGCAGGAAAGGUCGGGAAAAAAAGCCAAAGAAAUGGCCAAGCACACCCCUCAGCAUGGCUUUUAUUUUCUGCUUUGGGCCACUGUGACCACGCUGGUGGUUUUUCGCUAUGGAGCUCAGGGCGGAGGCCACGCUCGCUCUGGACCUAGAGCGGCGGCUCCAAGGUCUGGGGCGGGAGGAGGCCGAGUGGACCAGGCAGUCCCGAGGGGGCACACGGCGGGGUCCCACCUGGAGCCCGGCCAGGAGCCAGCCCCGCCGCCAGCCCCAGCCCUGCCCCAAGGGCACCCUCAGGCCCCGCCGGCCCGGGGGGCCGCGCACAAAAGGCCGCCCCGGCCCCGAGGCGCUGGUGCGUUCCCAACGCCGCUCCUUCCCGUGGCAUCUGCGCGGGGAAACACACAUCGCUGGGAGCCACUUUCACGAUUUUGUUGCGAGCGGGAUUAGCUGGAUUAGGGGCCGAUUCAUAAGGACCCCCUGCGGCUGUGAGGAAGUUUCAUCACAAGGUCAGUGUGGUGUGAACUAUAUUCUGUCAACACCACCACUCCUUAUAGCCAGCUACAAAAAAUACAAAGGGGGGGGGGGGGCGGGCGGGGGGGAAAGGAGGAAAUUGCAAGUGAAAUAUAUGAAUGAACAGUUUACAGCAACAAAAAGAUUUACCGAUUUCCCCCUCAAAUGCUUAAAAAGAUGUGUACCCUCCAACGCUGCAUUUCUUUAAAACAAGAAACCUGUAUUAGUAAUUUUUAAUUUAUAAAGAAUUUAGUGGUUUAGGAGGUGGGAGGAACCUGGGGAAUAAGUGUAGCAACCCACACACAAAAACCACAGAGGAACUUCUGGGACUUAGUUUAAAACCAGUCAUGCAGUUCCAAGAUUGUUGCACUGUUGAGAUUUUAUUACAUUUAAUGCUGCCACCUUCAAGACUAUUUAAUUCCUACCCCCCCCCCCCCAAGUGCAGUAAGUAACAGAGACAUUAAAAAAAGAGGGUUGGAUUGAAGAAAGGAGAAGGUGAAUUAAAGGGGUUUUUUGUUUGUUUUUGCUCUUUAAAGCAUAAUUACCCAUCUUGUACUUCGCCCACCUCCCCCCCAGCAAGAUUACCCUCAUCCCAUCGUAAUGACAUCACUCAAAGACUGCAACACUUUUAUAGCUAGCAUGAUGCAAAAUAAAAUCUAUAAUGAAAGAGCAGGACUUUUGUUUUGCAUGUGUAGUUUUGGGGGAGUUUGGGGGGGGGGGGGGCGAAGUGCGUGGUUUAAGAGAAGUCCCUCUUGCACAGAACCAGGCUGUUCAAUCAAAGCCUUAUCUGUUAUAUUUCUGUCUUUCUCUUCUGUUUAGCGCAUUCACCGACAAGAGAAAAGGGGCUAAAGCAAUGGAGGCUUUGACCUGCAGCUGUAACACAAUACUUUCGCACAGCCCUGUCGACCCCUGACAUAAAUUUUACACCGCAGCUGGCAUUUACACACUUAACAUUACCAUAUGUAUAGCCUACUCUGUGCUAAUUAUGCUAAUCACCUGUCUAACUCUCUGCUGCGAAAAAUGGUUGUAUUUAGCAGUCCACUGCCUACCAAUACAGCUUACUGUGUGGCUGAAAUGUACAUUCAGACGUCUCUGAAUGGCAAGAUUUUUCCACGUUGCUGGCUUCAUUCAGACCACAGAAAAAUUUAUUCAAGUCAACUGGUUUCGGUCCGCAACAAAAAAGUUACGAGAAAAAAGUGAGUGUGUUCCUGCCCUAACAUUCUAAGUCUGCUUGCAAGCAAAAUGAUAAAUCAAUUGGUGUGGGAAACAAAAAGGGAGAAAGAUUUCUUUUGCAAGCCAUGUGAAACUGUAGCCUAUUUAAAAAAAAAAAAAAAAAAGACAAAAAAGAAGAAAAAGGUCAUCCUAUUUCCCCAAAUCUCUACAAAGAACAGUUUAAUAGAUAUUUACACCUGCUCACAGUUCUCUCAAGUUGCUACCUUUUAUCUACAGUUGGAAAUCAUACUAAAUAUGUUUCAGGUUUUGUUUCUUGAUCUUAAUAAUUUCCCCUAGAAUAUUACAUUUUCUUUUAUCUACUGCUUAAACAGCAUCAGCUUCUAAACAGCUAGGGCUUCUCUUCUGACUAUGGGAACCCUUUGCAAAGUUAGUGAAGACUGCUGUAAAUGAAAUCAGAAUGAGGCCCAUGUUGAGAGGCAAAUAAGAAAAAUGCCCAGGAGAUACUCACCAGAAGAACUGGUACAAUAAAGUAUCUUCUUUAAGUACUUUUUUUACCAUUACAGAAAAGGUAACUUAGAAAAAAAAAAAAAAAGUUGUAAUGAAUAAGGGUUUUUUUUAAUGCUUAGUGUCAGCAGGAAGGGAGAUGUUUAAUAGAGUCCCUAAAGCUCAUCAUUCUACUGAGUAUCACACUGAGGAGACUACACCAAGAUCUGCAUGCAUUGGGAUCACAUUCCUGAAGCUAUUUAAAUACAGUUUAUCACCUAUAACCCCCUUCUCCUCUGCACACACCCAAGGAAGCUAUGGUAGUUCACAGAUUUGUCAGAUAACCAAAACAUAAAUCUGAUUAUGGCAUCACCCUUGGCCAUUUCCUUUCAGGUUAGAUUUGUGGAAUCUUUUUUCAACUAGAUUUAAAUGUUAUGAAAUGGCAUGUUCAUACACAAAAUAGAAAAACCUUUUAUAUCCACUACCACAUCUGAAUAAGGUAAGUACACCGGAAGGUAAGUAACUGUUAAUAUACAGCCAAGGGAUUUAAUUAAAAACAAGAACAGCUCAGCAAUGUUUAUGCUCAGAAGGUCCAGUAACACACCCAGUCACAGCAUGAGGUCAAGAAGAUCCCUAUGUCUGUGCCUUCCCAACUUCUCAUCUUUGUCCACUCUGCUUCCACAUGCAAGAGACUGCUGCUCACAAUAAGGUUUUCCCUGGAAGAGUAACUCACAAACAUAACUGCAGCAAGACUUCCUGCAUACUACAAGUCAGCAGAGAUCAGAGAAAUGAAAAGAACCAAAGCCUGAAAUACUGAAGAAAAAAUAAGACAAAUAACUGAAGAAAAUAAGGGUGGCUGAGAAAAUGCAUAUAACUGUAUAGUAUACACAAAGAAGAGUGAGCUUCUUGAUAAAAUUCUGCACUCCAGAUCCUGCUGAACUCUGAAAUAGAGCAGCUAGAGCCACAUAUACACACACACCAUCAUCUGUAGGCAGAAAAAUCACUGUGCAAAGGAUUGGACUUUAUUCUGUAUACAGAAGAAAACAUCUGACAAGUAACAGCCCGACAAGAUCUAUAAUCAAAAUGCAGUUUGAACCAAUCAGAAAAAAAAGCUAGCUGUGGGGCAAAGAACUUUACAAGCAUGGUUUUACCUGAGUGCUUAUAGGUUGAAGUAGGUAAUUCACAGUUAAGUUAAAAAGAUUGCGCAUAAUAGUCCAAGAGUGCAAAAAUGAGAACAUGUUCCAUUUGACAUGAAAAGAAAAGUAGUUGCAAACACAUCAAAACCAGCAUCUUAGUGGACACAGCUCCAAUAGGUCUUAGGGAGGUCAAUUUUUAAGGAAAAAUCCAACUGAAAUAUAAACAUGGCAUUAUGGAAACCAGAAAAAUCUCCCAUAGCUUUGUCCAGCCAGCACUAAUCUAGGCAUCAGCUGUGGUGUGUAAUCUAAAUAAAGGGAUCAGUUGGUUCAUACAUCUGGAAGCUGUCAUAUUUUGGAGCCUCCUAACAGUUAUGUGUAAGUGCAACAUUCACUUGGAUGUAACAGCCUUUAAAUUUGUUGAGUGGUCAAGAACAGUUAUAUGCAUACGCUACAUCAUAUUAUGACUUUCUGGGGAAUCAUCGAAAAUAUUAUGUAAUGACAGGGCUUGGACCACCUCUUGCCACAAAAAAAAAAAAA